GAUGAACGCUGGCGGCGUGCCUAAUACAUGCAAGUCGAGCGAACAGACGAGGAGCUUGCUCCUCUGAUGUUAGCGGCGGACGGGUGAGUAACACGUGGAUAACCUACCUAUAAGACUGGGAUAACUUCGGGAAACCGGAGCUAAUACCGGAUAAUAUAUUGAACCGCAUGGUUCAAUAGUGAAAGACGGUUUUGCUGUCACUUAUAGAUGGAUCCGCGCCGCAUUAGCUAGUUGGUAAGGUAACGGCUUACCAAGGCAACGAUGCGUAGCCGACCUGGGAGGGUGAUCGGCCACACUGGAACUGAGACACGGUCCAGACUCCUACGGGAGGCAGCAGUAGGGAAUCUUCCGCAAUGGGCGAAAGCCUGACGGAGCAACGCCGCGUGAGUGAUGAAGGUCUUCGGAUCGUAAAACUCUGUUAUUAGGGAAGAACAAAUGUGUAAGUAACUAUGCACGUCUUGACGGUACCUAAUCAGAAAGCCACGGCUAACUACGUG
RNAcentral lists this ribosomal RNA (497 nucleotides) under uncultured bacterium. Its description in RNAcentral is "partial 16S ribosomal RNA". It matches the Rfam family "Bacterial small subunit ribosomal RNA", at positions 28 to 507 of the family's 1533-position model. The record is from RNAcentral.